GGAUUGGAUAAACGCUGAAAGCAUCUAAGCGUGAAACCAGCCUCAAGAUAAGAUAUCCCUUUGUUUAUCAAGUAAGACCCCUUGUAGACCACAAGGUUGAUAGGUCGGGUGUGUAAGUGCAGUAAUGCAUUAAGCUGACCGAUACUAAUAGGUCGAGGGCUUCAAUCAAAAA
Molecule: ribosomal RNA, 172 nt
Filed under: Clostridiales bacterium
Lineage: Bacteria; Bacillati; Bacillota; Clostridia; Eubacteriales
Description: partial 23S ribosomal RNA
Rfam family: Bacterial large subunit ribosomal RNA
Source: RNAcentral